CCUACGGGGGGCAGCAGUGAGGAAUAUUGGUCAAUGGGCUUACGCCUGAACCAGCCAAGUCGCGUGAGGGAAGACUGCCCUAUGGGUUGUAAACCUCUUUUGUCAGGGAGCAACGCCGGCUACGUGUAGCCUGACUGAUAGUACCUGAAGAAAAAGCAUCGGCUAACUCCGUCCCAGCAGCCGCGGUAAUACGGAGGAUGCGAGCGUUAUCCGGAUUUAUUGGGUUUAAGGGGUGCGUAGGCGGAGUGCCAAGUCAGCGGUAAAAUCGCGGGGCUAAACCUCGCACUGCCGUUGAAACUGGCGUUCUUGAGUAGACGAGAAGUAUGCGGAAUGCGUGGUGUAGCGGUGAAAUGCAUAGAUAUCACGCAGAACUCCGAUUGCGAAGGCAGCAUACCGGCGCCCAACUGACGCUGAGGCACGAAAGCGUGGGUAUCGAACAGGAUUAGAUACCCCUGUAGUC
RNAcentral lists this ribosomal RNA (460 nucleotides) under uncultured bacterium. RNAcentral's name for it is "partial 16S ribosomal RNA". It matches the Rfam family "Bacterial small subunit ribosomal RNA", at positions 338 to 795 of the family's 1533-position model. The record is from RNAcentral.